GCCGCCAAAGCAUUGAUGGUGAUGUGCCGGUUUUGUACUCCGGAGAUGAGGAUUCGAGUUCCUCUGGCGGCU
This 72-nucleotide transfer RNA is filed under the name marine sediment metagenome. RNAcentral describes it as "tRNA-Thr". It matches the Rfam family "tRNA". From Rfam's summary of the family: Transfer RNA (tRNA) molecules are approximately 80 nucleotides in length. Their secondary structure includes four short double-helical elements and three loops (D, anti-codon, and T loops). The record is from RNAcentral.